RNAcentral lists this ribosomal RNA (2109 nucleotides) under Escherichia coli. RNAcentral's name for it is "partial 23S ribosomal RNA". It matches the Rfam family "Bacterial large subunit ribosomal RNA", at positions 840 to 2925 of the family's 2925-position model. The record is from RNAcentral. Lineage: Bacteria; Pseudomonadati; Pseudomonadota; Gammaproteobacteria; Enterobacterales; Enterobacteriaceae.
GGGAGAUAGCUGGUUCUCCCCGAAAGCUAUUUAGGUAGCGCCUCGUGAAUUCAUCUCCGGGGGUAGAGCACUGUUUCGGCAAGGGGGUCAUCCCGACUUACCAACCCGAUGCAAACUGCGAAUACCGGAGAAUGUUAUCACGGGAGACACACGGCGGGUGCUAACGUCCGUCGUGAAGAGGGAAACAACCCAGACCGCCAGCUAAGGUCCCAAAGUCAUGGUUAAGUGGGAAACGAUGUGGGAAGGCCCAGACAGCCAGGAUGUUGGCUUAGAAGCAGCCAUCAUUUAAAGAAAGCGUAAUAGCUCACUGGUCGAGUCGGCCUGCGCGGAAGAUGUAACGGGGCUAAACCAUGCACCGAAGCUGCGGCAGCGACACUAUGUGUUGUUGGGUAGGGGAGCGUUCUGUAAGCCUGUGAAGGUGUACUGUGAGGUAUGCUGGAGGUAUCAGAAGUGCGAAUGCUGACAUAAGUAACGAUAAAGCGGGUGAAAAGCCCGCUCGCCGGAAGACCAAGGGUUCCUGUCCAACGUUAAUCGGGGCAGGGUGAGUCGACCCCUAAGGCGAGGCCGAAAGGCGUAGUCGAUGGGAAACAGGUUAAUAUUCCUGUACUUGGUGUUACUGCGAAGGGGGGACGGAGAAGGCUAUGUUGGCCGGGCGACGGUUGUCCCGGUUUAAGCGUGUAGGCUGGUUUUCCAGGCAAAUCCGGAAAAUCAAGGCUGAGGCGUGAUGACGAGGCACUACGGUGCUGAAGCAACAAAUGCCCUGCUUCCAGGAAAAGCCUCUAAGCAUCAGGUAACAUCAAAUCGUACCCCAAACCGACACAGGUGGUCAGGUAGAGAAUACCAAGGCGCUUGAGAGAACUCGGGUGAAGGAACUAGGCAAAAUGGUGCCGUAACUUCGGGAGAAGGCACGCUGAUAUGUAGGUGAAGCGACUUGCUCGUGGAGCUGAAAUCAGUCGAAGAUACCAGCUGGCUGCAACUGUUUAUUAAAAACACAGCACUGUGCAAACACGAAAGUGGACGUAUACGGUGUGACGCCUGCCCGGUGCCGGAAGGUUAAUUGAUGGGGUUAGCGGUAACGCGAAGCUCUUGAUCGAAGCCCCGGUAAACGGCGGCCGUAACUAUAACGGUCCUAAGGUAGCGAAAUUCCUUGUCGGGUAAGUUCCGACCUGCACGAAUGGCGUAAUGAUGGCCAGGCUGUCUCCACCCGAGACUCAGUGAAAUUGAACUCGCUGUGAAGAUGCAGUGUACCCGCGGCAAGACGGAAAGACCCCGUGAACCUUUACUAUAGCUUGACACUGAACAUUGAGCCUUGAUGUGUAGGAUAGGUGGGAGGCUUUGAAGUGUGGACGCCAGUCUGCAUGGAGCCGGCCUUGAAAUACCACCCUUUAAUGUUUGAUGUUCUAACGUUGGCCCCUGAUCGGGGUUGCGGACAGUGUCUGGUGGGUAGUUUGACUGGGGCGGUCUCCUCCUAAAGAGUAACGGAGGAGCACGAAGGUUGGCUAAUCCUGGUCGGACAUCAGGAGGUUAGUGCAAUGGCAUAAGCCAGCUUGACUGCGAGCGUGACGGCGCGAGCAGGUGCGAAAGCAGGUCAUAGUGAUCCGGUGGUUCUGAAUGGAAGGGCCAUCGCUCAACGGAUAAAAGGUACUCCGGGGAUAACAGGCUGAUACCGCCCAAGAGUUCAUAUCGACGGCGGUGUUUGGCACCUCGAUGUCGGCUCAUCACAUCCUGGGGCUGAAGUAGGUCCCAAGGGUAUGGCUGUUCGCCAUUUAAAGUGGUACGCGAGCUGGGUUUAGAACGUCGUGAGACAGUUCGGUCCCUAUCUGCCGUGGGCGCUGGAGAACUGAGGGGGGCUGCUCCUAGUACGAGAGGACCGGAGUGGACGCAUCACUGGUGUUCGGGUUGUCAUGCCAAUGGCACUGCCCGGUAGCUAAAUGCGGAAGAGAUAAGUGCUGAAAGCAUCUAAGCACGAAACUUGCCCCGAGAUGAGUUCUCCCUGAGACUUAGAGUCUCCUGAAGGAACGUUGAAGACGACGACGUUGAUAGGCCGGGUGUGUAAGCGCAGCGAUGCGUUGAGCUAACCGGUACUAAUGAACCGUGAGGCUUAACCUU